AUGCAUUAACCGAGAAAGUUGAUGAGCAUGGUCAGACUUUGGCACACGCAGAGAAUCAGCACACUGAAUUAUCACAAAAGAUUGUGGAUCAGGAAUUAAAGCUGAAAGAACAGGAGGAAGCGCUCGGGAAGUUAGUGGAAGAGAAGGAAGGUCUAGUGGUACAGGUCAAUGAUCUCCAGGCUGAAGCGAAAUCCCUUUGUGAACAGAUGAGUACCUUGGAAGAAAACAUAAGCAGUGCAAACAAUGAGAGCAAUCUGCUGAAGGAGGAAAAGGUAAGUCUCCUAAGUAAACUAUCUGAUCUGGAGAAUGCAUUAACCGAGAAAGUUGAUGAGCAUGGUCAGACUUUGGCACACGCAGAGAAUCAGCACACUGAAUUAUCACAAAAGAUUGUGGAUCAGGAAUUAAAGCUGAAAGAACAGGAGGAAGCGCUCGGGAAGUUAGUGGAAGAGAAGGAAGGUCUAGUGGUACAGGUCAAUGAUCUCCAGGCUGAAGCGAAAUCCCUUUGUGAACAGAUGAGUACCUUGGAAGAAAACAUAAGCAGUGCAAACAAUGAGAGCAAUCUGCUGAAGGAGGAAAAGGUAAGUCUCCUAAGUAAACUAUCUGAUCUGGAGA
Molecule: unclassified non-coding RNA, 612 nt
Filed under: Hevea brasiliensis (rubber tree)
Lineage: Eukaryota; Viridiplantae; Streptophyta; Magnoliopsida; Malpighiales; Euphorbiaceae
Source: RNAcentral